Molecule: ribosomal RNA, 453 nt
Filed under: uncultured bacterium
Lineage: Bacteria
Description: bacterial SSU rRNA
Rfam family: Bacterial small subunit ribosomal RNA
Source: RNAcentral
AGAGUUUGAUCAUGGCUCAGAACGAACGCUGGCGGCAUGCCUAACACAUGCAAGUCGAACGAGACCUUCGGGUCUAGUGGCGCACGGGUGCGUAACGCGUGGGAAUCUGCCCUUCGGUUCGGAACAACAGUUAGAAAUGACUGCUAAUACCGGAUAAUGACGUAAGUCCAAAGAUUUAUCGCCGAAGGAUGAGCCCGCGUAAGAUUAGGUAGUUGGUGGGGUAAUGGCCUACCAAGCCGACGAUCUUUAGCUGGUCUGAGAGGAUGAUCAGCCACACUGGGACUGAGACACGGCCCAGACUCCUACGGGAGGCAGCAGUGGGGAAUAUUGGACAAUGGGCGAAAGCCUGAUCCAGCAAUGCCGCGUGAGUGAUGAAGGCCUUAGGGUUGUAAAGCUCUUUUACCAGGGAUGAUAAUGACAGUACCUGGAGAAUAAGCUCCGGCUAACUCCGUG